AGUGAACGCUGGCGGUAGGCCUAACACAUGCAAGUCGAACGGCAGCACAGUAAGAGCUUGCUCUUACGGGAGGCGAGUGGCGGACGGGUGAGGAAUACAUCGGAAUCUACUUUUUCGUGGGGGAUAACGUAGGGAAACUUACGCUAAUACCGCAUACGACCUACGGGUGAAAGCAGGGGAUCUUCGGCCCUUGCGCGAUUGAAUGAGCCGAUGUCGGAUUAGCUAGUUGGCGGGGUAAAGGCCCACCAAGGCGACGAUCCGUAGCUGGUCUGAGAGGAUGAUCAGCCACACUGGAACUGAGACACGGUCCAGACUCCUACGGGAGGCAGCAGUGGGGAAUAUUGGACAAUGGGCGCAAGCCUGAUCCAGCCAUACCGCGUGGGUGAAGAAGGCCUUCGGGUUGUAAAGCCCUUUUGUUGGGAAAGAAAAGCAGCAGGUUAAUACCCCGCUGUUCUGACGGUACCCAAAGAAUAAGCACCGGCUAACUUCGUG
This 492-nucleotide ribosomal RNA is filed under the name uncultured bacterium. RNAcentral's name for it is "partial 16S ribosomal RNA". It matches the Rfam family "Bacterial small subunit ribosomal RNA", at positions 29 to 507 of the family's 1533-position model. The record is from RNAcentral.